CCUACGGGAGCCAACAGUGAGGAAUAUUGGUCAAUGGCCGGAAGGCUGAACCAGCCAUGCCGCGUGAAGGUCAGUGCCCUAUGGGCGUUAAACUUCUUUUGUGCGGGAGCAAUAAUGGUCACGUGUGGCCAGACGAGAGUACCGUACGAAUAAGCAUCGGCUAACUCCGUGCCAGCAGCCGCGGUAAUACGGGGGAUGCAAGCGUUAUCCGGAUUUAUUGGGUUUAAAGGGUGCGUAGGCUGUGAGGUAAGUCAGCGGUGAAAUGCCCCCGCUCAACGGGGUGAAGUGCCAUUGAUACUGCCUGGCUGGAAUGCGGAUGCCGUGGGAGGAAUGUGUGGUGUAGCGGUGAAAUGCAUAGAUAUCACACAGAACACCGAUUGCGAAGGCAUCUCACGAAGCCGCGAUUGACGCUGAUGCACGAAAGCGUGGGUAUCAAACAGGAUUAGAUACCCGAGUAGUC
Molecule: ribosomal RNA, 460 nt
Filed under: uncultured bacterium
Lineage: Bacteria
Description: partial 16S ribosomal RNA
Rfam family: Bacterial small subunit ribosomal RNA
Source: RNAcentral